RNAcentral lists this long non-coding RNA (2184 nucleotides) under Callithrix jacchus (white-tufted-ear marmoset). Its description in RNAcentral is "lncRNA (ENSCJAG00000073010.1)". The record is from RNAcentral. Lineage: Eukaryota; Metazoa; Chordata; Mammalia; Primates; Cebidae.
AUGGAUCUUGUUCUUGCCUCUGUCUUUACGCCUGAGGAAAAGGAGGCUCAGAGAGUGAGGCCACCUCCUCAAGGUGCACAGCCACUUAGUGUCAGUGCUUGGACCCACCCUAGGCGCCUGGACUCCUUGUGGAAUGUUCUCCCUCCUCCUUGUCCACCUCCUCCUCAUUUGCAGUUAUCCAGACACAGAACUGCUGAGAAUGUCUUUUGUUUCUUUAUUUUGAAACGCAGUCUUGCUCCGUUGCUCAAGCUGAAGUGCAGUGGCGCGAUCUCGGCUCACUGCAGCCUCCACCUCCCGAGUUCAAGCAAUUCUCCUGCCUCAGCCUCCCGUAGCUGGGAUUACAGGCGUGAGCCACCACGCCCGGCCAUUUUAUUUAUUCAUUUGUCAUUUAGUUAUUUAUUACUGGACACCUAGGUUGCUUCCCUAUCUGGGCUGUUGUGAGCAUGGAAUCAGCUGCCUCUCCUAGGUGGUGAUUUUUCUCUUUUGGGUAUAUACCCAGAAGGAGGACUGCUGGAUCAUGGGUAGUUCUAUUUUUGAUUUCUUUACGUGGUUCCCAGUUCGCAUUGCCACUUCCUUUUCCUUGGAGAGAUGAGUAGGAGACAGGCUGAGGAUACCCAUGAGCUGGAAGAGAGCCCUGCUGCCCACAGCUUGCACCCUAAACCCCAGGCUCCACAGCUUUCCGCCCCAGUUGCCUCCCGUGGCCUCCCUUCCUCCAGAGGAAGGAGAAGAUGGGAGGGAUUUGCUAUGAGAAAAGUAUUUUCCCCAAACAAUUACCAGGAAAUACUGUCUUGACUGAUAAUCCUGACCUGUGCUGUCCUCUUGGCAGAGUUACUGGAAGGCUUAUUACACCUCGCGAAUGCUGACGGAGCACAGUUCUCAGGCGGAAUGGCCUACCCUGCACAGCCGCAAGGCAUCUUGGUUGUCCCUGACAGGUGACAGGUGCGCUCUCCACACCCCUCUGUUGGCCAACCUUGACCUUGAGCAGGGCCCCGGCUGGCCCUCCCAGCUUGCUUGCUGGUGGGAGGCCAUUCUCUGCUGACUCAGGCCCAGACUGGGGCAGGUGCAUGCCUUCCACCCCAUGAGUAACACCGGCUUUUCAUCUUCAAAGGGCCUUCCCAAGAUGAACCAAUUAGUCAUCCCAGGAGAGCUACAAAGCAGGUUAUUACUGUGUUGAUGAAGCCCAGUGGAGGAGGGAAGCAAGUGGAGUCCCCACCCCAGGCCAGUGAGAAAACUGGCAGAGGAGGUGACAGCCAUGCGGGAUUCCCUGGGGUGUUGGGGUGGGGAACCAACCGAAGGCAGGUAAAGUGGAGGCUGGAGCUUCUCACUGGUCGGGGCAGGAGAGACCAAGGGAGCAUGUGGGGAAGGCCUGGAGAGGCUGAGGUCGACAGAAAAGGGCAUAUUACUGAAACCACAGCCAGUGGAUGAAGAGACAAUUUGGCCUAAACGGACUCACGGAGGCCUCUACCCUAUGUUCCUUUUUAUUUUAAAUUAAAUUUUUUUUAAAGAGAUGGGGUUUGAUCAUGUUUGCCAGGCUGGUCUCGAAUUCCCGAACUCAGGUGAUUUGCCCACUUCUGGCCUCCCAAAGUGCUGGGAUUACAGGCGUGAGCCACCAUGCCUGGCCCCCUAUGUUCUAAAGAAUUCAGAAAACUGCUGCAGAUUGCACUGCUGCCUGAAUCACUCUGCGUCUUGGAGCACCCAGAUAUUUGUGAAAUGAGUCUGGAACACUUUCCUUUUUGUAUCUGUGUGAGGAUUUUGAUGGACUAAAAAUGGCCACAACACAAGUCAUUCAAGCUUGUUGCAAAUAAAAAGUGUGCUGUGAAAGCUGAGAAGAGGAAGAGGUGGCACUGUCUGGUUGACUCUGAACCACAGGCAUGUCCCCUUUAAUGCAGAAAGGUAGAGGGUUUCGAAAGGUAAAUCCAAGUGCUGGUGACAGAGUGAGAACCGAAGCACCUUCUGGAAGCCAGACAGCUGAGCGAACCUUUGGUCAAUGCCGCCUGCAGCUGCUUUUUAUAAACUUGGCAUAAAUAUGUGCUUGGGAAUGCCAGGACAGUGUGUCUGGAAAAUAUUUUCUACCUUUAGAAAACACACACAACACACACACCCCACACAACACACAUGCACACACAACACAGACAUGUACACAGCACACAAUGCAAUACACAUGCACACAACAUACUACACAUG